AUGAACGCUGGCGGCGUGCUUAAUACAUGCAAGUCGAACGAAGAGCCUUUGUAGCAAUACGGAGGUUUCUUAGUGGCGAACGGGUGCGUAACGCGUUGGUGACCUGCCCCAAAGUGUGGGAUAACAGUUCGAAAGGAUUGCUAAUACCGCAUGUGGUCAUCGGGUUUAGAAGCCGAUGACUAAAGCAGUAAUGCGCUUUGGGAGGGACCUGCGUCCCAUCAGCUAGUUGGUGAGGUAACGGCCCACCAAGGCUACGACGGGUAGGGGACCUGAGAGGGUGGUCCCCCACACUGGCACUGAAACACGGGCCAGACACCUACGGGUGGCAGCAGUAGGGAAUAUUGGGCAAUGGGCGAAAGCCUGACCCAGCAACGCCGCGUGCACGAUGAAGGUCUUCGGAUCGUAAAGUGCUUUUCUGAGAGAUGAGAAAGGACAGUAUCUCAGGAAUAAGUCUCGGCUAACUACGU
RNAcentral lists this ribosomal RNA (467 nucleotides) under uncultured bacterium. RNAcentral describes it as "bacterial SSU rRNA". It matches the Rfam family "Bacterial small subunit ribosomal RNA", at positions 29 to 506 of the family's 1533-position model. The record is from RNAcentral.